AAUUUCAUGAGCUAUAUAAUGUUGUAUAUCUUGUGACACAGUAGACUUAAACCCACUUCUCUUUUAGCAGGGUGAUAAUAAAUGUCACCUCUACUUGUCUGCCACUCAAGUCCUGAUAUGCACUGCAAAGCUAAAGUCAGCAAAACAAACUAGCUUCCUGGAAAGGAGAAUUUUAAGAACAAGAACAGAAAAAAGCCCGGUAAAAGCUGUAACUGGCUCUGCCUGUCUGUGCUAUGACAGCCAACAAUAUCACCUGCUGAUGAUUUACAGAUUCCUGGGAGAUGUGUUGUUGAGUCUCAAAGAACUGGAACAAGAACAACUCGCUCAAAUUGCUUCCCGUGAAACAGCAUAACGUAUCCACCCGCUUCAUACUCUCCUAAUUUAGGACACGUGUAGUCUGUAAUGAUGAACUGGCCAACUGAUUAUGUUGCUGUAAAUCUCGUUCCCCACCUUACAAAACAC
This 462-nucleotide long non-coding RNA is filed under the name Junco hyemalis (dark-eyed junco). Its description in RNAcentral is "lncRNA (ENSJHYG00000014965.1)". The record is from RNAcentral. Lineage: Eukaryota; Metazoa; Chordata; Aves; Passeriformes; Passerellidae.